UCAAGCUAAUAAGAGCAUAGGGUGGAUGCCUUGGCACUAGGAGCCGAAGAAGGUCGUGAUAAGCUGCGAAAAGCUUUGGGGAGGCGCAAAUAGCCAUCGAUCCAGAGAUUACCGAAUGGGGAAACCUGGCUGAGCAAACCUCAGUCACUGCAUAGUGAAUACAUAGCUAUGCAGAGGGAACCCGGGGAACUGAAACAUCUAAGUACCCGGAGGAAGAGAAAGAAACAUCGAUUUCCUAAGUAGCGGCGAGCGAAAGGGAAAGAGGCCAAACCUAAGGACCUAGUUCUUAGGGGUUCGGACUGCAAUACGGUAUUAAGAAGAUUUAGCCGAAGUGUUUUGGAAAAGCACGCCAUAGAGGGUGAAAACCCCGUAGGCGAAAAGUCGAAUUAGCCAGCAGGAUCCAGAGUAGCGCGAGACACGAGAAACCUUGCGUGAAUGAGCGGGGACCACCCCGUAAGCCUAAAUACUACCUAGUGACCGAUAGCGCAUAGUACUGUGAAGGAAAGGUGAAAAGAACCCCGGGAGGGGAGUGAAAAAGAACCUGAAACCCUAUGUUUACAAGCAGUGGAAGCACGUUAAGGUGCGACCGCGUACUUUUUGUAGAACGGUCCGGCGAGUUACGAUUGCAGGCAAGGUUAAUGACUAAAGGUCAGGAGCCGAAGGGAAACCAAGUCUGAAUAGGGCGUUUGAGUCUGUAGUCGUAGACCCGAAACCGGGUGACCUAUCCAUGUGCAGGUUGAAGUUACCGUAAAAGGUAAUGGAGGACCGAACUCACAUCUGUUGAAAAAGGUGGAGAUGACGUGUGGAUAGCGGAGAAAUUCCAAUCGAACCCGGAGAUAGCUGGUUCUCCUCGAAAUAGCUUUAGGGCUAGCCUUGUUUUAGUCUACUGGAGGUAGAGCACUGAAUUGCCUAGGGGGCUUCACAGCUUACCGAAGCAUAUCAAACUCCGAAUGCCAGAUAGAUGAUGAACGGGAGUCAGACUAUCGGAGAUAAGUUCGAUAGUCAAAAGGGAAAGAGCCCAGACCACCAGCUAAGGUCCCAAAGUGUGUGUUAAGUGGAAAAGGAUGUGAGAUUUCGAAGACAACUAGGAUGUUGGCUUAGAAGCAGCCACUCAUUUAAAGAGUGCGUAAUAGCUCACUAGUCGAGAGGUCUUGCGCCGAAAAUGUCCGGGGCUAAAACACACCACCGAAGCUGUGGAUCCGAAAGGAUGGUAGAGGAGCAUUCUUAAAGCAACGAAGCUGUACCGUAAGGAGCAGUGGAGUUUUAAGAAGAGAGAAUGCCGGAAUGAGUAGCGAGAGAGAAGUGAGAAUCUUCUCGGCCGAAUAUCUAAGGUUUCCAGAGUAAAGCUGAUCUUCUCUGGGUAAGUCGGGACCUAAGGUGAGGGUGAAAACCGUAGCCGAUGGACAACUGGUUGAGAUUCCAGUACCUUGUAUGAACAGAACUGUGGGGACGCAGAAGGAUAGGAAGAGCCAGGAAUGGAAAAACUGGUGUAAGCGUAAAGGCUGUGUGUUAGGCAAAUCCGGCACACUGAGGCUGAAACGUUAUGCGGAUCGAAAUAAAGUAGAGAAGCUUCCAAAUCCAAGCUGUCAAGAAAAGCCACUAUUGUUUCAUGUAAGCCCGUACCGCAAACCGACACAGGUAGAUGAGGAGAGAAUCCUAAGGCCGACGGGAGAAGCGUUGUUAAGGAACUCGGCAAAAUGACCCCGUAACUUCGGGAGAAGGGGUGCCUACGCAAGUAGGCCGCAGAGAAUAGGCCCAAGCGACUGUUUAGCAAAAACACAGGUCUCUGCAAAACCGAAAGGUGAAGUAUAGGGGCUGACGCCUGCCCGGUGCUGGAAGGUUAAGGGGAAUGGUUAGCGCAAGCGAAGCUAUGAACUUAAGCCCCAGUAAACGGCGGCCGUAACUAUAACGGUCCUAAGGUAGCGAAAUUCCUUGUCGGGUAAGUUCCGACCCGCACGAAAG
RNAcentral lists this ribosomal RNA (1962 nucleotides) under microbial mat metagenome. RNAcentral describes it as "bacterial LSU rRNA". It matches the Rfam family "Bacterial large subunit ribosomal RNA", at positions 3 to 1998 of the family's 2925-position model. The record is from RNAcentral.